UGGGGAAUAUUGCACAAUGGGCGCAAGCCUGAUGCAGCCAUGCCGCGUGUGUGAAGAAGGCCUUCGGGUUGUAAAGCACUUUCAGCGAGGAGGAAGGUGGUGAGCUUAAUACGCUCAUCAAUUGACGUUACUCGCAGAAGAAGCACCGGCUAACUCCGUGCCAGCAGCCGCGGUAAUACGGAGGGUGCAAGCGUUAAUCGGAAUUACUGGGCGUAAAGCGCACGCAGGCGGUUUGUUAAGUCAGAUGUGAAAUCCCCGGGCUCAACCUGGGAACUGCAUUUGAAACUGGCAAGCUAGAGUCUCGUAGAGGGGGGUAGAAUUCCAGGUGUAGCGGUGAAAUGCGUAGAGAUCUGGAGGAAUACCGGUGGCGAAGGCGGCCCCCCUGGACGAAGACUGACGCUCAGGUGCGAAAGCGUGGGGCAGCAAACAGGAUUAGAUACCCUGGUAGUCCAGCGCUGUAAACGAUGUCGAUUUGGAGGUUGUGCCCUUGAGGCGUGGCUUCCGGAGCUAACGCGUUAAAUCGACCGCCUGGGGAGUACGGCCGCAAGGUUAAAACUC
This 558-nucleotide ribosomal RNA is filed under the name uncultured bacterium. RNAcentral describes it as "partial 16S ribosomal RNA". It matches the Rfam family "Bacterial small subunit ribosomal RNA", at positions 355 to 902 of the family's 1533-position model. The record is from RNAcentral.